GAUGAAGAACGUAGCGAAAUGCGAUAAGUAAUGUGAAUUGCAGAAUUCAGUGAAUCAUCGAAUCUUUGAACGCACUUUGCGCCCGCCAGUAUUCUGGCGGGCAUGCCUGUCUGAGCGUCAUUUCAACCCUCAUGCCCCUAGGGCGUGGUGUUGGGGAUCGGCCAAAGCCCGCGAGGGACGGCCGGCCCCUAAAUCUAGUGGCGGACCCGUCGUGGCCUCCUCUGCGAAGUAGUGAUAUUCCGCAUCGGAGAGCGACGAGCCCCUGCCGUUAAACCCCCAACUUUCCAAGGUUGACCUCAGAUCAGGUAGGAAUACCCGCUGAACUUAAGCAUAUCAAUAAGCGGAGGA
RNAcentral lists this unclassified non-coding RNA (348 nucleotides) under soil metagenome. Its description in RNAcentral is "partial contains 5.8S ribosomal RNA, internal transcribed spacer 2, and large subunit ribosomal RNA". The stretch from base 1 to 120 matches the Rfam family "5.8S ribosomal RNA", at positions 35 to 154 of the family's 154-position model. The record is from RNAcentral.